UACGUAGGGGGCAAGCGUUGUCCGGAUUUAUUGGGCGUAAAGAGCGUGUAGGCGGCCAGGUAGGUCCGUUGUGAAAACUCGAGGCUCAACCUCGAGACGCCGAUGGAAACCAUCUGGCUAGAGUCCGGAAGAGGAGAGUGGAAUUCCUGGUGUAGCGGUGAAAUGCGUAGAGAUCCGGAGGAACCCCAGAGGCGAAGGCGGCAGCCUGGUUCGUACCUGACGCUCGGACACGACAGCAUGGGGAGCGAACGGG
RNAcentral lists this ribosomal RNA (253 nucleotides) under uncultured bacterium. RNAcentral's name for it is "partial 16S ribosomal RNA". It matches the Rfam family "Bacterial small subunit ribosomal RNA", at positions 524 to 776 of the family's 1533-position model. The record is from RNAcentral.